UUUUUUUAGAAAUAAAUUUAAUUUACAGAUUUUUGAUUUUUUGGCUAUUUUUUUAGUUGAAAAAUUUAAUAAUUUGAAUAUUUUAAGGGAUAAGCUUUAAAAUAAAUUAUUAAAAAUUAAAAUUAUAAUAUAAAAUGUAUGCUUAGAAUUAGCAAUCAUUGUAGAGUUUGUUAUAAAUUAUUUUAUGAUUUAUAUUAUUUAUUAUAUUUUAAUUUGUUUAUAAAAAUUUUUUUAUUAAUAGUUUAUAAAAAGGAAUAAUGAUAGAAUUAGUAUAUUUUUAUGUUUUAAUAAUUUUAUGUGAUAAGUUUAUGUAAAGAACUCGGCAAAAAUUUUACCCGCCUGUUUAACAAAAACAUGUCUUUUUGAGUUAUUUUUAAAGUCUGACCUGCCCACUGAAAUUUUUAAAUGGCCGCAGUAUUCUAACUGUGCAAAGGUAGCAUAAUCAUUAGUCUUUUAAUUGAA
RNAcentral lists this ribosomal RNA (462 nucleotides) under Zeugodacus longicaudatus. Its description in RNAcentral is "partial 16S ribosomal RNA". Lineage: Eukaryota; Metazoa; Arthropoda; Insecta; Diptera; Tephritidae. The record is from RNAcentral.